GCGAAUGUAGCUUAGUGGUAGAGUUCUUGCUUAGCAUGCAUGAAGCCCUGGGUUCGAUUCCUCAGUACUGCA
This 72-nucleotide transfer RNA is filed under the name Dipodomys ordii (Ord's kangaroo rat). It matches the Rfam family "tRNA". Rfam says of the family: Transfer RNA (tRNA) molecules are approximately 80 nucleotides in length. Their secondary structure includes four short double-helical elements and three loops (D, anti-codon, and T loops). The record is from Rfam by way of RNAcentral. Lineage: Eukaryota; Metazoa; Chordata; Mammalia; Rodentia; Heteromyidae.